Long non-coding RNA from Thunnus maccoyii (southern bluefin tuna), 1184 nucleotides. RefSeq lists it as uncharacterized. The transcript is spliced from 2 exons. NCBI's taxonomy places the organism in Eukaryota, Metazoa, Chordata, Actinopteri, Scombriformes, Scombridae. The record is from RefSeq and is a predicted model, not a curated record.
GCAGCAUCUGGAUCAGCUGCAGCUGUCUGAUUGAUUUUUUUAGAUAGGGCCGGGUCCGGACUGUAGAGGGUCACACUGGGACACCAGGGCAGGGUCCUGACUGUAGAGAGCAGAUCAGGAAGAGUUGGAACCACAGGAGGAUCGGCUGGUGGAUCGGAGUGUUGUCAGACAGGGUUGCAUAGUGGUUGGAGAGUCGUAGGUGAGUGGUGAGAUCUGUCUGAGUGUCUCUUGUGACUGUGGACCACCACUUCAGUCCAGGAUGACUGAUGAUUGGAUGUUAAGCAGGAGGAGAGCUGUGGACAGGUGGAGGGGUCCCACAGAUCCUGGAUGGUUGCACUGAGAGAGGUCAUCAGUUUGGACUGUGCAGAGGCCACGUCCAUGCAGCUGGACAAGAGUCUUUCUUCUGCAAUUCAUCAGAAAGCCAUUGAAUAUCCUCCUUAUGCACUGGUUUGACUGCAGGACUUAAAGGAUCUGAGAGAGAAAAAAAGUGGACAAUGAAGAACAAGUUUGUCUUCGUGUUAGAUUCCACAGUGAGGACACAGACAGGGUGUACAGGACGGACAGGAAGCGGCGUGCUGGGGUCAUGUGACAUCCUGCAGAGCGUGAAGACAAAGCGGUGGGAGCUGCUCUGUAUACAGGGCCUCUGCUCCGGUCUACUUAGCAGGACACACUGAACAAUGGAGCUGCAGAUUGAGGUCAGUGUGUCACAGAGCUCAGGUCACUGCAGGCCGCUCCACACCAGCUGGUCUCCAUGGAAACCAGUGGAUAUUAUGAGGGAAACGUAGUCUUGAGUGGUUUCUUAGAGCAGACGCACCUGCUGAGGAUUACUGAACGAUCUGACUCAAUCAGACACAGCGAGCAAAGUUUCUCUGAGGUCACCUUAAAUCUCAGAUUCACACCCGGAUGUACCUGCCGGAUUUAUGACAUCACAACCAGCUUGGAGCCAAUCGUGUUCCAGUAUGCAACUGACACAUGUGACGUUGAAACUUGAAGCCUCCAGAGCACAAACACUGAGAUGGACUUUACAGUGAAGGAGGAAACAUCUGGUGUCCAGCAGGAAAACUUUACAUAUUCAAAGAUUCUGGAUCUUUAAAUGAAGACGAAGGAGCCGAUGUUUAAAGAUCCGCACCAGACAUGUUUAUAUGUUUAUACUGUAUAUAAAAUACUCUACUUUGAAUAAUAAU